GACUUCCUCUUCCGGGACAAAAGUUAAUCUAGCUCGAGAGACUUAGUCAGCCUUGGGGGGCGCGGCCUUGGGGCUGCUCGGGAUGACGUAAGGGCGGAGCGGGGCAGGGCGCUUUCAGACCCCGCAGCAAGUGUUAGUCCCACAGACCCACUCCGCUGUCAGCUCGGCGCCGGGGAGCGCGCGCCCUGCUCCCCCGGGGCUGCUCCGAAGGGCUCGCCCCUGAUCAGAGCUAACGCAGGGCUCGCGCUGCCUGUCGGGGCAUCAGCAGCUCUUCCCGGUUAGGCCAUGCCCACACAUAGUGUGGACGUUUGGUUCCAUGAGGACAACCAGCGGCGGCGCACCUUGCCAUGGUGCCCAAGGAAUGGGCCAUGCAAGUUACCCCAGGGGCAGUAGGGGAGGUUGGGGCCAGUCCUGGGAGCCUCCUGGGGCUGCAGUAGCAGCAAUUCUGCCUUUGCGGAGCCUGGCUGGAAGCUGCAGUGCAGCUCUGGGUGGCCCAGCUCCGGUGGCAUGUGCUGCCCCCAUGUGUGUUGCUCUGUUUUUAUUCUCUGUGGGUUUUUUUGGCAUAUCCAGGGGUCAAAAAACCCUCUGUUCUACUCCCUUUCAGCUUGGAGAACAACUGAACGUGUGGUAUGUGGCACUGCCAACAUGUCUGUUUUGCCACAUACUGCACGGUUGCACUUGUCUGUCUGGACAUGCCAUAGAGUCCUAGGAAGAGAAUCAUUCCAACUGAGCCAUUUACAGCCUAAACUGCCCAUAAAGGUGACAAUAUUUGGAUCUUGGGGAGCACUGGAUUUGCAGCUGAAUGAAGGCUUUAACCUGUGGCUAGCAAAAGCUGCUGACCACAAGGCAGAAUGAUAUCUAAGCCAGCCAUUUGCUUAUGCUAAGUAACCAUCCUAACUGUGUCAACCAUUUUCUGAUAAAAAGCAGCAAGUGAGUCUGUGUGAGUCUGUGAAUGAGGUGAAGCUUUAGAAAUGUGGAAGAUGGUACAAAAUGAGACAGAAAAACAGAUUGGAAUAUGAAAACAACACAUAAUUGGUAACAGAAUCUGAGAUGAACAUAUGUGAAAAGGUGAAUGGUGAUUGGUGAAGAAGCCUCCAGAAGCUUCCAGGUUUUGGUCAAAGUCCACCCAUUGACAGAAGAAGUAAAAUCAAGGUCUUGGACAUGCACUCAUAGCGAAGAGACAUGUAAAUGAAUAAAAUGCAUAGGCAAUUCCAUGUUAAUGAAACAAACACGAAACAGAGGCAGAGCUUAAGAUAGGAGGAGAAAUGGGUGGAACAAAAGGAGGGACAGAGGUGGAAUGAAUGUUAAUGAGCAUGAAUCAAGGUGUAUAAAAUGUGGAAAGAACUAUUGUUUGUCGCAGGUCCCCGGUUUGCUGGGUUUUUGGGACCUUUACCCAAAGCUGUCUCCAUUCUGAAUAAAGCUGUUGCAAGCAAUGUGUGCAAGUAGUGUUUGCUCCCUGCUUGCUCUGGCUAAAAUGAGUAACAGGACCUAUGAGUGAUUGGAUCAUCAUCUCCCUAGUCAUUGGGCGCCAUGUAGAGUUGGGUUCUAAUACUGCCCAGUGUUUAUCAAGGCUUGUGGUAUGAGAGCUCUCUCUCCUUGGGCUUAUGCAGGCUUUCACGCUAAAAGUAUGCAGGACUGUUACCUGAGCAUAGUAAUGCAGGGGUAUCCCACUUCUUCAGCUUGAAGGGAAAAAUAUUUCAAGAUGUUAAGGGGCCAGAGUCAGAAGGGAAGAUACAAUUUACAGCUGUUUCUACCUUCAGUUACCUCUUGCCUCCUGAACCUUUGAAAUUGGGAGCGUAACAGCAGUAGAGGUUUAUGCUAUCAACAUUUGUGUCCAAAACUGCUCACCUAUCUUUUCAAAGUACAAAAUGUGCUUGGAGAAGAAUGUGUUGAACUGCUUUUUGAUUCCCACUUUUAUGAACCUAGCAAUCGGAAAUACACUUGUCUGUUUCUUCUCAAACUGACCCUUGGGAAACUGUUGUCCUCAGUCUGAAACCUGUUUCCUUUCCUAGAAACCCAGUCCUGCUUUUAUAAAUCUAGUGUCGCUGGACUCAGCCCAUCUACACUUCUGCAUACCCUCCUCUUCUAUGAAGGCUACAGGCUUCCAGUCUUAUAGUCUCUCACUUACCUCAAAAGGACCACCAACCCAAAAUUGGGAUUUCUAUUCUCAUGCAGCCUCUUGUCAAAUCUCACAGAUACAAGAGAAUCUCAUAUUUCAUUUAAACAAAUAAAUGUCUUUUGUCGUUGCAAAGCUUAAAAAAAUGUGGCUUCUGAAGAACCCAACACAAAGAGCAAAUGAACAGAGCCACCAGCUUAUUUUAAACAUUUCAUGAUUUAUAUACCAGUUUCUUGAUUUUGUAGGAUCUGACUUAUGGAUUUGAACACUAAACAUAGAAUCAUGGAGAAGUAGGGCUGGAAGGGAUCUUGAGAGGUUAUCUAAUCAAACUGCCUGCCUGGGGUAAGAUCAUACCUAGCCAAACCAUCUUAUAGAAAUCUAUGGUUGGUGACAUUUGGGACCUAUUUCCAGUUGAGAAUAAUGUUCCAAUACAUGUAUUCUUUUAAACACAGCCAUAAUAAGACCUAAAGUCAUGACUUAACUGCUUCUGGCCACGAGCCCCCUCCCCCAGGCUCCCCACGGGUGCCCUGCCUGCACCAGCUUUGGCCCUUUAAGAAAAAAACAAACAAGAUAAGCCCUGGGACUCACCGCUCCUGCAGCAGCCUCAGAACUUUGGGGGCUCGUGGAGAGCCCCCCACGUGGUAGGGGGCAGAAGGGAUUGGCCCCCCCCAGCAGGAGUGGUGAGUGUAGGGUUUUUUCAGGGGGUUUUUUCCUUAAAGGGUCAGAGCUGGCCUGGGCGGGGCAUCCGUUGUGGGGCUGGGGAGCGAGGGAGGUCAGGGGGCUUGUGCAGAGCCUCACAUGUAGCAUGGGGCUGUGGGAAGCAGUGGGGAUUGCCCCCCCACUUGGCAGCACCUGCUGAGUAGGGGAUUUUUUUUAAAGAAGUGCCGGGAGCUGGGGUGGGUGGGGCAGCCAUUGCCAGACUGGGAGAGCAGGCGGGGGAUGGGCCUGCCCUGACUGAUUUGGAGAUUCAGCUGAAUCGAAUCGUGACAGUGAUUCGAAUCACUGAAUUGAAUCACAGAGGUGGGCAAUUAUUUUAUGUGGAGGGUUGCUUAAUGAGUUUUGGUUAGCUGUUGAGGGCAGCAUGGGUGGAUCCGUCCCUUGACGGUUGGUCUGUCCCCCAGUCACCAUAUUGGGACUGGAAGUCCCACCCCAACCCCUGACCUUUGCCACCAGAAGCCCCUCCCCUUGUCCCUGGAAGUACUCCUUUUGUGGGGGAGGGAGCUGCAAUCUUGAAAUCAACCCCCCUCCCCAUCAUAUUAAAAAAAAAAAAUCUACUAUAACUUACUUUAAUUUUAUUUAAAAAUAUUUUUGUACUGAUUUAUGCAUGUUUGUGAAAUGUAUCUAGAGGUGAUUGCAUAAUAGCUCAAAAUACAGUAAAGAAUCACAGAGGUGGGCUCAGCAUGAAUGAGAAUGAUUGGGAAUAAUUGAAAUACAAUGAAAUACAAUGGUAGCAGAUCUCUACCUGACUGGGCCAUCACCUCACAUUGAUUCAUCCAGGAACCACGGACCUCACCCAGGAACAGAGACAAGACCAGCAUUUGAAAGACAAAAGACCCUGCAAAACCAGCAACUCUCACCAUUACAGACACCUGAAACUGCACAUCCCUGCAUGGAGCGCACAUGCUUAGUUUGCCAAGGGCUGACCCAUGCCUGGGCAUGCCUCCUGUCACUAGGGUCACACAAGGUAUGCCCCUAUACCCAGUGGGACGUCCUCUCCAUCUGGACCAGCACCAUGCCACACCACCUAUCCACCCCAGAGGCCCUGCCAGCGAACCCCUCUGGACAACACCUACUGGACAAGGACCCCUUUCCAGCCUGGAUAGGUAGAUAUUACCUGCACACCUCCUUCUACAAUUUGGAUUCUCUCUCUCUCUGUCUCUCUCUCUCCUCCUGGACUUCAGUGGACUUCAGCCCCUGCAUCAAGCCUCUCUAACCCCUGCUGCCAUUGUAUGUGCAUGUGUGUGUGUGUGUGGGUGCAAGAGAACCAAUCUGACAUUGUGUAACCAUCUCCCUUGUUCAAUAAAACCACUGUCAUUUGCAACCCUGA
Molecule: long non-coding RNA, 4163 nt
Organism: Alligator mississippiensis (American alligator)
Lineage: Eukaryota; Metazoa; Chordata; Crocodylia; Alligatoridae
Exons: 2
Source: RefSeq, a predicted model, not a curated record